GCCUCUAAGUCAGAAUCCAUGCUAGAAAGCGACAACGUUCGCCCGACCACAAGCGUACGAAUAGGUCCUUCGUGACCCAAUACCGCAGCAUGGUGGCACAUCCCGACGGAGAACAGCCGAUCGGGAGCGUUCGCCAGAGCAAAACUCGAAGAUUGGGCGGCACAGAUCCUUUGCAGACGACUUAAUACGCAACGGGGUAUUGUAAGCAGUAGAG
This 214-nucleotide ribosomal RNA is filed under the name Symbiodinium sp. clade D. RNAcentral describes it as "partial Eukaryotic large subunit ribosomal RNA". The record is from RNAcentral. Lineage: Eukaryota; Dinophyceae; Suessiales; Symbiodiniaceae.